Molecule: ribosomal RNA, 430 nt
Filed under: uncultured soil bacterium
Lineage: Bacteria
Description: bacterial SSU rRNA
Rfam family: Bacterial small subunit ribosomal RNA
Source: RNAcentral
AGAUUGAACGCUGGCGGCAUGCCUUACACAUGCAAGUCGAACGGUAGAGUAGCAAUACUCGAGAGUGGCGAACGGGUGAGUAAUAUAUCGGAACGUGCCCAGUCGUGGGGGAUAACGUAGAGAAAUUUACGCUAAUACCGCAUACGAUCUAAGGAUGAAAGCGGGGGAUUCGCAAGAACCUCGCGCGAUUGGAGCGGCUGAUAUCAGAUUAGGUUGUUGGUGAGGUAAAAGCUCACCAAGCCGACGAUCUGUAGCUGGUUUGAGAGAACGACCAGCCACACUGGGACUGAGACACGGCCCAGACUCCUACGGGAGGCAGCAGUGGGAAUUUUGGACAAUGGGCGAAAGCCUGAUCCAGCAAUGCCGCGUGCAGGAAGAAGGCCUUGGUUGUAACUGCUUUUGUACGGAACGAAAGCUCUUUCUAAGUAAA